GUUUGAUCAUGGCUCAGGACGAACGCUGGCGGCGUGCCUAAUACAUGCAAGUCGUACGCAACUCUUCUAAUCGAACAUUCCUUCGGGAAUGCGUUCAACCUGAAGGUUGAGUGGCGAACGGGUGAGUAACACGUGGGUAACCUGCCCUUUAGUGGGGGAUAACAGUCGGAAACGACUGCUAAUACCGCAUACGCUUUUCAAGUCGCAUGACUCGAAAAGGAAAGAUGGCCUUUGUGCUGUCGUUAAAGGAUGGACCCGUGGCGCAUUAGUUAGUUGGUGAGGUAAAGGCUCACCAAGACGAUGAUGCGUAGCCGGCCUGAGAGGGUAAUCGGCCACACUGGGGCUGAGACACGGCCCAGACUCCUACGGGAGGCAGCAGUAGGGAAUCUUCCGCAAUGGACGAAAGUCUGACGGAGCGACGCCGCGUGAAUGAAGAAGGUCUUCGGAUCGUAAAGUUCUGUUGUUAGAGAAGAACAAUCACUAGAGUAACUGCUAGUGACUUGACGGUAUCUAACCAGAAAGCCACGGCUAACUACGUGCCAGCAGCCGCGGUAAUACGUAGGUGGCAAGCGUUGUCCGGAUUUAUUGGGCGUAAAGGGAGCGCAGGCGGUUCUGUAAGUCUGAUGUGAAAGCCCACGGCUUAACCGUGGAAGGUCAUUGGAAACUACAGAACUUGAGUUCAGGAGAGGUGUAUGGAAUUCCAUGUGUAGUGGUGGAAUACGUAGAUAUAUGGAGGAACACCAGUGGCGAAGGCGAUACACUGGCCUGAAACUGACGCUGAGGCUCGAAAGCAUGGGUAGCAAACAGGAUUAGAUACCCUGGUAGUCCAUGCCGUAAACGAUGAGUGCUAGGUGUUGGGGGGUUUCCGCCCCUCAGUGCCGGAGUUAACGCAUUAAGCACUCCGCCUGGGGAGUACGGCCGCAAGGCUGAAACUCAAAGGAAUUGACGGGGACCCGCACAAGCGGUGGAGCAUGUGGUUUAAUUCGAAGCAACGCGAAGAACCUUACCAAGUCUUGACAUCCCGCGCUAACCCUAGAGAUAGGGCGUUCCCUUCGGGGACGCGGUGACAGGUGGUGCAUGGUUGUCGUCAGCUCGUGUCGUGAGAUGUUGGGUUAAGUCCCGUAACGAGCGCAACCCUUGUCAUUAGUUGCCAGCAUUUAGUUGGGCACUUUAAUGAUACUGCCGGUGACAAACCGGAGGAAGGUGGGGAUGACGUCAAAUCAGCAUGCCCCUUAUGACUUGGGCUACACACGUGCUACAAUGGAUGGUACAACGAGUCGCUACCUCGCAAGAGCAAGCUAAUCUCUUAAAGCCAUUCUCAGUUCGGAUUGUUCUCUGCAACUCGAGAACAUGAAGCCGGAAUCGCUAGUAAUCGCGGAUCAGCACGCCGCGGUGAAUACGUUCCCGGGUCUUGUACACACCGCCCGUCACACCACGAGAGUUUGUAACACCCGAAACCGGUGGCCUAACCCUUUUAGGGAGGGAGCCGUCUAAGGUGGGAUAGAUG
Molecule: ribosomal RNA, 1507 nt
Filed under: uncultured bacterium
Lineage: Bacteria
Description: bacterial SSU rRNA
Rfam family: Bacterial small subunit ribosomal RNA
Source: RNAcentral